RNAcentral lists this ribosomal RNA (689 nucleotides) under uncultured Serratia sp. RNAcentral's name for it is "bacterial SSU rRNA". It matches the Rfam family "Bacterial small subunit ribosomal RNA", at positions 791 to 1480 of the family's 1533-position model. Lineage: Bacteria; Pseudomonadati; Pseudomonadota; Gammaproteobacteria; Enterobacterales; Yersiniaceae. The record is from RNAcentral.
UAGUCCACGCCGUAAACGAUGUCGACUUGGAGGUUGUUCCCUUGAGGAGUGGCUUCCGGAGCUAACGCGUUAAGUCGACCGCCUGGGGAGUACGGCCGCAAGGUUAAAACUCAAAUGAAUUGACGGGGGCCCGCACAAGCGGUGGAGCAUGUGGUUUAAUUCGAUGCAACGCGAAGAACCUUACCUACUCUUGACAUCCAGAGAACUUAGCAGAGAUGCUUUGGUGCCUUCGGGAACUCUGAGACAGGUGCUGCAUGGCUGUCGUCAGUUCGUGUUGUGAAAUGUUGGGUUAAGUCCCGCAACGAGCGCAACCCUUAUCCUUUGUUGCCAGCGGUUAGGCCGGGAACUCAAAGGAGACUGCCAGUGAUAAACUGGAGGAAGGUGGGGAUGACGUCAAGUCAUCAUGGCCCUUACGAGUAGGGCUGCACACGUGCUACAAUGGCGCAUACAAAGAGAAGCGACCUCGCGAGAGCAAGCGGACCUCAUAAAGUGCGUCGUAGUCCGGAUUGGAGUCUGCAACUCGACUCCAUGAAGUCGGAAUCGCUAGUAAUCGUAGAUCAGAAUGCUACGGUGAAUACGUUCCCGGGCCUUGUACACACCGCCCGUCACACCAUGGGAGUGGGUUGCAAAAGAAGUAGGUAGCUUAACCUUCGGGAGGGCGCUUACCACUCUGUGAUUCAUGACUGGGG